RNAcentral lists this ribosomal RNA (447 nucleotides) under uncultured bacterium. RNAcentral describes it as "bacterial SSU rRNA". It matches the Rfam family "Bacterial small subunit ribosomal RNA", at positions 330 to 793 of the family's 1533-position model. The record is from RNAcentral.
GCCAGACUCCUACGGGAGGCAGCAGUGGGGAAUAUUGCACAAUGGGGGGAAACCCUGAUGCAGCAACGCCGCGUGAGUGAAGAAGUCAUUCGUGAUGUAAAGCUCUCUCAGCAGGGAAGAAAAUGACGGUACCUGAAGAAGAAGCCCCGGCUAACUACGUGCCAGCAGCCGCGGUAAUACGUAGGGGGCAAGCGUUAUCCGGAUUUACUGGGUGUAAAGGGGGCGCAGACGGCGAUGCAAGCCAGGAGUGAAAGCCCGGGGCCCAACCCCGGGACUGCUCUUGGAACUGCGUGGCUGGAGUGCAGGAGGGGCAGGCGGAAUUCCUGGUGUAGCGGUGAAAUGCGUAGAUAUCAGGAGGAACACCGGUGGCGAAGGCGGCCUGCUGGACUGCAACUGACGUUGAGGCCCGAAAGCGUGGGGAGCAAACAGGAUUAGAUACCCCAGUAU